AGUUUGCUUCUUUAAUUAUGAUAAAUGAACAAGGACACAAAGAUUGUCUUGUGUAAUGGGAUGAAAACUAAUGCUGUACAUAACUUAUAAAGUCAACUAGGAUUAUUAUUUUUUCUUUACUUUUUGUGUGCAAAGUCACGUUUGUAUCAUCAAAUCAAUGGCAUAUUCUUCUGCUGAGGGCUCAACUGGAGACCAAUUGCAAUUGCAGGCCAAUAGAUGAGAUGCCAGAACACGCUGCCUCUUGUCUCCUUAAAUUGACUGAAUAAUCCGUUCUAGGGCAUUAUUCUUAUUUCUCUUGUUUCUUGAUUUGAAUUCAGUCAAUGGAGUUGUGUCUAUUAUACAUAUUGAAUGCUGUUUUCUUGAGCGGACUGAUAUGAUUCUGUAAUUUCAUUUCUUAACUUACUGAAUCAAAACUGCUCAGAGUUAUUACACGUCGUGCUGCUUAUGCCAAGCUUGAAGGACAGCGCUAAAUGCGAGCUAUGGGCUCUGAUGCUGGCUACAGUUGGCUUCAUAAGCUAUUUCUAAUGAAGGCUCUAAAGAUUUCAUCUGGCCUGAGCUAAAAUGAUAGUGACAGCUUAACACAUGCCAGGUUGCGUUCCAGGUCAAGGAAAUUUUUUGUAAAAAUGACGUAGAUGAACUCAUCACUUUUAUCUAAGUCUCCACUCAGAGAGUUGUCUCAAGGUUCAGCUUUGUGGUGAUGAUCUUUUCCAGCGGAGGCAACAUCCAUUUGUCCUCCUCCUACUCAAGUUCUCUAAUAAAAUUUUUUCUUCGUGUUGAAUAUUGAUGCAUCAGAGGUUGUUUGUUCUGCCUUUAUUGUAGUUUUAUAAAAUAAGUAUUAUUUAAUGCAAUAAUUGAACUGCGCUUCGAUAAUUGUGCUGUAUCCACAGACACAAAAAAUGUCUUGUCUAAUGGGGAUGAAAACCAUAGCUGGUCACCUGGUUCUAAGUCUUGUCUCCGUGUGUUCCCUCUUGAUCCAUGCAUCCAUGUUCAGGGCUUGACAUGGGAGAGAAGUGGCUGGGGGCCAGGGGGCAGCCAGGUCAUCAGGUAGACAACCCACGAGAGAAACAGCCCAGAAGGCUGCCAGCCACCUAGGCUGCCAGGAAACCAAGCCAGCAGGCAGCAAGGCAGCCAGGACUGCAGGGAUGCAGGCAAGGCUCCAGGCAUGCAGACGCUUACAUUAGAUAAAACCUGUUUCACAACAAGAGUCCGAAGAUUCCCUCUGAAUGGAGCCAAAAUGAUAUUGAGAGCUUUACACAUGCAUGGCUGGGCUGCUUCCCAGGUCUUAAAGCAAGGGAAAUUUUGUUUGUAGUCACCUACAUGAAUUGGAUACUUGGUUCAUUGUCUUGGCUUUCUGUGUGGAUUUUCACAAGGCUAUUUAUUCUCCCUUAAUUGCAGUUACAAUAAAUGAGUGUUAUUAAACUCAAUGUUUUUAGUUUGCUUCUGUACUUGUUGUUUACCAUCAAAGACACACUGAUUGUCUUGUCUAAUGGGAUGAAAACUAAAGCUGUUCCUGAGAUAUUCACAAGUCAACUAAGACCAUAAUUGUUUCUUUCCUUUUUCUGUGCAAAGUCACAUUUGUUUUAAAAUCAUCAAAUCAAUAGGAAUUCUUCUGCUGAGGACACAACUGGAGACCAAUUGCAAUUGCACGCCAAGAGAUGAGAUGCCAGCACACUCUGCCUCUCGUCUCCUGAAAUUGACUGAAUAACCAGUUCUCGUACAUUACUCUUGCUCCUCUGCUUU
Molecule: long non-coding RNA, 1740 nt
Organism: Thrips palmi
Lineage: Eukaryota; Metazoa; Arthropoda; Insecta; Thysanoptera; Thripidae
Exons: 11
Source: RefSeq, a predicted model, not a curated record